UCCAAUCUUGCGCCGUCUCCUUCCUUUCACCGUCUCGAUCCAAUCUGCUAGCAUCCCCUCCGCUGCUCCUCUCCAACAGCCCCCAUGCUCCCACUCCCGCCCCGUCCACCUCCGCCGCCCCCACCAUCGACGCAACAACCUCCGCCACCGCCGCCAUCGAGACCGCGGAGGAAGCCGUUGCAGCACCGGUGGUGGAAGAGGCGCCGCCGACGCCGCAGGCAGCCGCGCUCGGUAGGAGCAGCCUCUGCACGGGACAAAUCUCCACAUGAUCUGGUGACGCAAGCGGUCGACCCACCUGAAGAACUCCGUGUCAUGCGGCUGCUCUUCUGGACGCUCUCUGCGCUGCUCGUCCAUGGCGUGAUCUCCGCUGCCGCUACUUCCAACCACGCUGACCUCUUGCUCCAGUUCUUUCACUUGGCUUACAGCUGGCCGGGUUCUGGGCUUCUGGCCGGAGCCAGCCAUCGUGACGCUCCUCUACCACGCCCGCUGCAUCCUCCUCGAGACCAUGCCGCCCUUCUCUGUUUCCCUGACGAGGCCAUUGUCGCAGGCAUUUUGCGGCGCUGCUCCCAUCCAGAUGCUUUGUUGAGUGGACAUGUUCAGCGUGUGUGGGAUUUCUCAAGUUCAAAGCUGACAUCGUCGAUGAGACUGAACCCAAGGCUGAAGGUGGAGGAGGGCGUGGACGGGUUUUGGUCCCAGCAUUGCACUCGGAGAUGCUCUAAUAUUUAAGGAAUCAUUGUUUCUUAUAUUAUAUUUUAUCACAUUGCCAUCAAAUUAAAUUGCUUGAUUGAGUAAAUAGCUUCAUAAUGUACUAGUAAAUCUUUGCUACCAUUAUUGGCAAGUUUUUGUAAGUAAUCUUUCUAGUCAAGCACUUGUGUAUCACCUAUAGUAAUCUUAAGUUUUGCCAUUUUUCUCUUCUGAAUUUUCUCAUCUUGUUUUCAUAGGCUUGCUGGCUGCGUCUUCUAUGCUACUUGGUUCAGGUACUACAAUCAUGCCACUAGUUCGGGAGAGUGAGAGGGAAAGGAGGGCAUUCUUGGCGGAACAUAAACGCAUGGGUGAUGUGUAUGCUAAGCUAAGGGGUGCAUUGAUUACAUGCAUCAAGAGGAGUUAGCCGCAAGAAUUGAAGCACAAGAGAGAUCAUUUGAAGAGAUACAAAAGAAGCAGCAAGAAGAAUUGGAAGCUCUAAAGAAGAUCCAACAAGAGAAGAAUGAAGCCUAGGCAAAGAAGCAAAAGGAGAUGGAUAAUCUGCUUGAUUUUCUCUUGAGGGCUCAAGCAACUUAGCAACCAACUUUGCAGUCCCAGUCCAAACCAGAUGGUUCAUGAAAGCCAUCCUUACAUUGCAAUCAUUAGGACAACAUAUGUGGUCUUUAGUUAAUAUUAGUUUUCAUGCUGACUAAGGCAUAGCCCGGUGGUGUGAAGAGGUUGAUGCCUUCCCACCCACCCACGUUCAAGGCAUAGUACUUGCAAUUUGGGUUUGUUGCACCAAUUAUACUGUAGGGGGUUCCCUAUAGUCUUUCUGUCAAAAAAAUAUAUAUUAGUUUUCAUCUUA
Triticum urartu is the source of this 1546-nucleotide RNA transcript. RefSeq lists it as uncharacterized. Lineage: Eukaryota; Viridiplantae; Streptophyta; Magnoliopsida; Poales; Poaceae. The record is from RefSeq and is a predicted model, not a curated record.